RNAcentral lists this ribosomal RNA (201 nucleotides) under uncultured bacterium. RNAcentral's name for it is "partial 16S ribosomal RNA". It matches the Rfam family "Bacterial small subunit ribosomal RNA", at positions 524 to 723 of the family's 1533-position model. The record is from RNAcentral.
UACAGAGGGGGCAAGCGUUGUUCGGAAUUACUGGGCGUAAAGGGCGCGUAGGCGGCCUGUUAAGUCGAACGUGAAAUCCCCGGGCUCAACCCGGGAACUGGCGUCCGAUACUGGCAGGCUUGAAUUCGGGAGAGGGAUGCGGAAUUCCAGGUGUAGCGGUGAAAUGCGUAGAUAUCUGGAGGAACACCGGUGGCGAAGGCG